RNAcentral lists this ribosomal RNA (120 nucleotides) under Aspergillus tubingensis. Lineage: Eukaryota; Fungi; Ascomycota; Eurotiomycetes; Eurotiales; Aspergillaceae. The record is from RNAcentral.
ACAUACGACCAUAGGGUGUGGAAAAUAGGGCUUCCCGUCCGCUCAGCCGUACUCAAGCCACACGCCGGGAGGUUAGUAGUUGGGUGGGUGACCACCAGCGAAUCCCUUCUGUUUUUAUUG